GAUAGUGAACCAGUACCGUGAGGGAAAGGCGAAAAGAACCCCGGCGAGGGGAGUGAAAAAGAACCUGAAACCGUGUACGUACAAGCAGUGGGAGCACGCUUAGGCGUGUGACUGCGUACCUUUUGUAUAAUGGGUCAGCGACUUAUAUUCUGUAGCAAGGUUAACCGAAUAGGGGAGCCGAAGGGAAACCGAGUCUUAACUGGGCGUUAAGUUGCAGGGUAUAGACCCGAAACCCGGUGAUCUAGCCAUGGGCAGGUUGAAGGUUGGGUAACACUAACUGGAGGACCGAACCGACUAAUGUUGAAAAAUUAGCGGAUGACUUGUGGCUGGGGGUGAAAGGCCAAUCAAACCGGGAGAUAGCUGGUUCUCCCCGAAAGCUAUUUAGGUAGCGCCUCGUGAAUUCAUCUCCGGGGGUAGAGCACUGUUUCGGCAAGGGGGUCAUCCCGACUUACCAACCCGAUGCAAACUGCGAAUACCGGAGAAUGUUAUCACGGGAGACACACGGCGGGUGCUAACGUCCGUCGUGAAGAGGGAAACAACCCAGACCGCCAGCUAAGGUCCCAAAGUCAUGGUUAAGUGGGAAACGAUGUGGGAAGGCCCAGACAGCCAGGAUGUUGGCUUAGAAGCAGCCAUCAUUUAAAGAAAGCGUAAUAGCUCACUGGUCGAGUCGGCCUGCGCGGAAGAUGUAACGGGGCUAAACCAUGCACCGAAGCUGCGGCAGCGACACUAUGUGUUGUUGGGUAGGGGAGCGUUCUGUAAGCCUGUGAAGGUGUGCUGUGAGGCAUGCUGGAGGUAUCAGAAGUGCGAAUGCUGACAUAAGUAACGAUAAAGCGGGUGAAAAGCCCGCUCGCCGGAAGACCAAGGGUUCCUGUCCAACGUUAAUCGGGGCAGGGUGAGUCGACCCCUAAGGCGAGGCCGAAAGGCGUAGUCGAUGGGAAACAGGUUAAUAUUCCUGUACUUGGUGUUACUGCGAAGGGGGGACGGAGAAGGCUAUGUUGGCCGGGCGACGGUUGUCCCGGUUUAAGCGUGUAGGCUGGUUUUCCAGGCAAAUCCGGAAAAUCAAGGCUGAGGCGUGAUGACGAGGCACUACGGUGCUGAAGCAACAAAUGCCCUGCUUCCAGGAAAAGCCUCUAAGCAUCAGGUAACAUCAAAUCGUACCCCAAACCGACACAGGUGGUCAGGUAGAGAAUACCAAGGCGCUUGAGAGAACUCGGGUGAAGGAACUAGGCAAAAUGGUGCCGUAACUUCGGGAGAA
Molecule: ribosomal RNA, 1255 nt
Filed under: Escherichia coli
Lineage: Bacteria; Pseudomonadati; Pseudomonadota; Gammaproteobacteria; Enterobacterales; Enterobacteriaceae
Description: partial 23S ribosomal RNA
Rfam family: Bacterial large subunit ribosomal RNA
Source: RNAcentral